RNAcentral lists this ribosomal RNA (481 nucleotides) under uncultured bacterium. RNAcentral's name for it is "partial 16S ribosomal RNA". It matches the Rfam family "Bacterial small subunit ribosomal RNA", at positions 28 to 523 of the family's 1533-position model. The record is from RNAcentral.
GACGAACGCUGGCGGCGUGCUUAACACAUGCAAGUCGAGCGGUAAGGCUCCUUCGGGAGUACACGAGCGGCGAACGGGUGAGUAACACGUGAGCAAUCUGCCCUUCUCAUCGGAAUAACCAUUGGAAACGAUGGCUAAUGCCGAAUACGACUUCCUUUCGCAUGUCAGGAAGUGGAAAGCUCCGGCGGAGAAGGAUGCAGCUCGCGGCCUAUCAGCUUGUUGGUGAGGUAAUGGUUCACCAAGGCGACGACGAGUAGCCGGCCUGAGAGGGUGACCGGCCACACUGGGACUGAGAAACGGCCCAGACGCCUACGGGAGGCAGCAGUGGGGAAUAUUGGACAAUGGGCGAAAGCCUGAUCCAGCAACGCCGCGUGAGGGAUGACGGCCUUCGGGUUGUAAACCUCUUUCAGCAGGGGCGAAGCGAAAGUGACGGUACCUGCAGAAGAAGGACCGGCCAACUACGUGCCAGCCGCCGCCGUAA